RNAcentral lists this long non-coding RNA (1008 nucleotides) under Parus major (Great Tit). Its description in RNAcentral is "lncRNA (ENSPMJG00000017113.1)". Lineage: Eukaryota; Metazoa; Chordata; Aves; Passeriformes; Paridae. The record is from RNAcentral.
AUGCUCCCUAAAUGCCAGAGAGGCUGGGCUUGUCUCAGCCCUGCCUUGCUGUGUCACACAAAGCACAUUUGCAGUCAGAGGUGUCCCGUGUUCACCCAGCGUGCUGUGCUGAGGGCUGAGGAGGUUGAGGCAGUGUGCAACAAGAAACCCUGCAGAAGACUGGGAAAUAUGUGUGGUUCCAUUGCUCUUGACCUGAAAAAACAACUUUAUAAUGGCUUGAUUAACUCUGCUCUUCAUGAUGGACCCAGUGAUAAAAAAGUAAAAAAGCAUUUAGGUGUGGUGUUUAUGGUGAAACUGGAAGUUAAGUACUGCCUGCCAGGGGCAAUGACACAGUGUUCCUCCCAUUACCCUGGAGUCAUACUGCUCUUAAGUAGAGCUGAUGAUUGUCUGGGUGGGCUGAGGUGUGUCCAAAACAUCUUCCCAGUCACUGCCCUGAUACAGCCCCUCAUUCCCAUGUCGCACAGCCCCCGUUCCAUUCCGGCCAGAGCCCUCCCAUCAUUGUCUUUGCCCUGUUGCAUUUCCCACUGUUCCUUCCUGCCUGGCUGCAGGUGCUGUGGUCUUGUUCUGCCCUGCAGGACCCUGGGUUGGUUGGCUCCCCUGGGCCUGCCAGGCCUGGCAGUCUCCUCCACUGCCUCAUGGUGCUCAGGGACAUCCAUCUUGCCCCUCAGCACUGUCCCACAGUGGCUUCUGGGUCACAGAAUCCACCAGUGUCUUGUUCCAGCUGAAAAUAUCUGCCAUCCUCCUGUGUCCAGUGUCACCCUUUGUGCACACACUCUGUCCAAAAGCAUUUUUAAAGUCUUCUUUCCCCCAACAUUGCCAUGUUCCAGCUCUGUCUGCCUAACAGUGGCCCCUGUGUUCCCAUUCCACUUGGAGACAACAUCCCCAUGCUCCCAUUGGCCCUUGUGGAGCCAUUUCAGCCCUAGCUGCUGUUCCUCCAAACCCCACCUGGCUUUGAUCAGGCCACAAGGAAACAGUGCUGGAGGGAGGAAUGACAGAAACAAAACUUGA